Molecule: long non-coding RNA, 447 nt
Organism: Mirounga angustirostris (Northern elephant seal)
Lineage: Eukaryota; Metazoa; Chordata; Mammalia; Carnivora; Phocidae
Exons: 3
Source: RefSeq, a predicted model, not a curated record
CUUUUUACUAUUGUUGCCUGUCUUUGCUAGGUCACACCGGGCAGGUGGCACCUGGGAUUGAGUCUCCUCAAGCCCGGACCUUGGAAACACAGGAACACAAAUCCCAGAAGGUCAUCAAGCCUUGCGCACCAGGAGGCGGUGUUGCUGUGGAAGACUUUUGAACAGGGGUUGUGAUAUUUCUAGCAAACCCAUGCUGUGAAAAGCUUGCUCUCACAAGGUGUGUAAGGUGGACGCAACAGAAAGACUGAGGAAAGAAGUAAAAAUCCAGGCCCAAGAUGAGUACCCAGCUAAUUGGAUUGGAGAGGGAAGCUGAGGGAGCCUAUGCACUCCCCUUCCUAGACAGGGGAGUGGAGGUUGGAGCUUGGAAUCCCAGACCCCCGAAGGACGACUGGCAAGGACACCCACUGAAUGCAUCUCAUUAUUGUGCUUUAAAUUCUAUAGGCAUGU